CCAGUACUCCUUGGUGGGUUUGGGGCUGAUUUGGGGCUGAUUUUGGGCUCCAUCCUGCAGCUAUGCCGGUCACGGGGCCGGGGCGCGGCUCCUGGACGGGCAGAGCCUCGCCCGCCUCCCCUGCCGGGCCGUGGUUUUGCUCUUCGGCUGCUCCAGCGCCGCCCUGGCCCCGCGGGGAGCGCUCGAGCCCUCGGGCACCGUGCUCAAGUUCGUCCUGGCCGGGUGCCCGCUGGUGCUGGGGAACCUGUGGGACGUCACGGACCGGGACCUGGACCGGCUGGCGCAGGCGCUGCUGCGGGGGUGGCUGGGGGGGGGCCCCGGGACCCCCCUUUUGGGGCAGCUGGCCCAGGCCCGCCAGGCCCCCCGCCUCAAAUCGCUAAUCGGGGCCGCGCCCGUGGCCUACGGGCUGCCCGUCAGCCUCUGCUGAGGGGCCGGGGGGAGUUUGGGGUCCCCCCAUUGCCGGGAGUGAGGGUUG
RNAcentral lists this long non-coding RNA (475 nucleotides) under Junco hyemalis (dark-eyed junco). RNAcentral's name for it is "lncRNA (ENSJHYG00000000539.1)". The record is from RNAcentral. Lineage: Eukaryota; Metazoa; Chordata; Aves; Passeriformes; Passerellidae.